GAUGAAGAACGCAGUGAAAUGCGAUAAGUAAUGUGAAUUGCAGAAUCCAGUGAAUCAUCGAAUCUUUGAACGCAUAUUGCGCCCGCCAGCAUUCUGGCGGGCAUGCCUGUUCGAGCGUCAUUUCAACCCUCGACCUCCCUUUGGGGAAGUCGGCGUUGGGGACCGGCAGCACACCGCCGGCCCUGAAAUGGAGUGGCGGCCCGUCCGCGGCGACCUCUGCGUAGUAAACCAACUCGCACCGGAACCCCGACGUGGCCACGCCGUAAAACACCCAACUUCUGAACGUUGACCUCGAAUCAGGUAGGACUACCCGCUGAACUUAAGCAUAUCAAUAAGCGGAGGA
RNAcentral lists this unclassified non-coding RNA (343 nucleotides) under soil metagenome. RNAcentral's name for it is "partial contains 5.8S ribosomal RNA, internal transcribed spacer 2, and large subunit ribosomal RNA". The stretch from base 1 to 120 matches the Rfam family "5.8S ribosomal RNA", at positions 35 to 154 of the family's 154-position model. The record is from RNAcentral.